RNAcentral lists this transfer RNA (71 nucleotides) under Camelus bactrianus (Bactrian camel). It matches the Rfam family "tRNA", at positions 1 to 60 of the family's 71-position model. From Rfam's summary of the family: Transfer RNA (tRNA) molecules are approximately 80 nucleotides in length. RNAcentral also lists the same sequence under 1 other name. The record is from Rfam by way of RNAcentral. Lineage: Eukaryota; Metazoa; Chordata; Mammalia; Artiodactyla; Camelidae.
GAGGGUAUAGCUCAGUGGUAGAGCACAUGCUUAGCAUGCAUAAGGUCUUGGGUUCAAUCUUCAGGUUCUCC